UCCCUGGUGGCUCAGACGGUAAAGAAUUUGCCUGCAAUGCAGGAGACCCAGGUUCAAUUCCUGGGUUGGGAA
This 72-nucleotide transfer RNA is filed under the name Bos taurus (domestic cattle). It matches the Rfam family "tRNA". From Rfam's summary of the family: Transfer RNA (tRNA) molecules are approximately 80 nucleotides in length. Their secondary structure includes four short double-helical elements and three loops (D, anti-codon, and T loops). RNAcentral also lists the same sequence under 2 other names. Lineage: Eukaryota; Metazoa; Chordata; Mammalia; Artiodactyla; Bovidae. The record is from Rfam by way of RNAcentral.